Saccostrea echinata is the source of this 365-nucleotide long non-coding RNA. RefSeq lists it as uncharacterized. The record is from RefSeq and is a predicted model, not a curated record. The transcript is spliced from 4 exons. Lineage: Eukaryota; Metazoa; Mollusca; Bivalvia; Ostreida; Ostreidae.
CUAAUUGUAUUUUUCAAGCAUCUACAGAGGUUACACCGCUGUUUGAGACUGUUGAAAAAUUAACUGAUUUUAUAAAUCUAAAACUUGAAGAUGAAAUCCCUCUUUCUGAUUGUGUUGUGUGUGUGUUUGAUUGCCUCUGCACAAGUUGUCAUGGCAGGACAUGGUUGUUAUUGUGUGUAUCACAAUGACCAAACGUGCAGUAAUUAUUGCCAGAGCGAACUCAGUUGUAGAGGUGGAUACUGCGGCUCGGGUUGGUGUGUUUGCAAGUGUGUUGGUUGCAAAAAGUAACUGGAAAGAAAAAAAAAACAGGAACAGACUACGUGACAUUUGUCGCAAUGACUUACUAUUAAACCAUUAAAGCAUCA